UACGGAGGGUGCAAGCGUUAAUCGGAAUUACUGGGCGUAAAGCGUGCGCAGGCGGUUAUUUAAGCCAGACGUGAAAGCCCCGGGCUUAACCUGGGAAUGGCGUUUGGGACUGGAUAGCUAGAGUACGGCAGAGGGAGGUGGAAUUCCACGUGUAGCAGUGAAAUGCGUAGAGAUGUGGAGGAACACCGAUGGCGAAGGCAGCCUCCUGGGCCAGUACUGACGCUCAUGCACGAAAGCGUGGGGAGCAAACAGG
Molecule: ribosomal RNA, 253 nt
Filed under: uncultured bacterium
Lineage: Bacteria
Description: partial 16S ribosomal RNA
Rfam family: Bacterial small subunit ribosomal RNA
Source: RNAcentral